This is a non-coding RNA of Chrysemys picta bellii (western painted turtle), 1288 nucleotides long. The record is from RefSeq and is a predicted model, not a curated record. Lineage: Eukaryota; Metazoa; Chordata; Testudines; Emydidae.
UUUUUACCUCAUCCUUUGGACGCAUGCGUGACAAGCAUGCCGGGCAGGGAAGGGGUGAGACUGUGGCCUCACCAAUGCUCAUGCGUAGUCUCGGGAGUGUCUCCCUCGCUCCCCUACUGUAAUGCGCAUGCGUGAGAGGCCGUCGGCCUGGAAGCUGUGUGCGCGCGCCCUGCCGCCGAGCGGAACGGAGGGCGCGCGGGUCCGGCCGGGCCUGCGCUGGAGUUCGCAGAGCGGGGUGCGCACAGAGCUGGUGCAGCGCAUGCCCUGUAGUGAUGCUGUACGGCACAGCCUGUACCAGCCCAUGCAUUUGCUGCACACGGCUCAGCAUGGAGUCAGCCCUGCCGAGAAACUGUCUGGUGCUUAAAAGAGAAAAGAUUCCAAGCCAGAUCCAGAGUAGAAACAGAAGUUACCCAAAAUCACAACCUCCUUUCUAGUCCAGUAAGUUUGUACACUUGCUCAGCUCUGUGAAUGGAGGGUCUCUGGACCAAGGUACUAUUUGUGAAGUUACGUGUGGAAGGAAGGCUGAGGAAAGCCACAAUGGAGAAGUACUGAAUCUUUCUAUUGUAAAACAAAGUUUUUUAUAGAGCAGCCAUACCUCAAGCCAAAGACUGAAAAAGGUGAGGACAUUCUACAGGGCUUUCAGAGGGAUAAUGACAUUGGCCAUCUAAAUUGUGCAAACUUGGCUGAGAAUCAGAAGAAGGACGUCCUAGCAACUCGGAAGUUGCCACCUUCAAAUUUCAGUUUCCUAAAACACUAAUGGGCUCAGGGGCUAGUCAGAAAUAUCGUUGUUGCAGUGUGCAGCUCUUACAAGAGUAUAAAUUUGCACAUUACUCCAAACAUCUGGAUGGAGUGUUCUGUUAGUGUUCUUUAAACAGCAAGGAAGCAGUCUUGAUUUCCAUUCCCUUGAAAGACUGGUCAGAUGGCAAGAAAAUACUUGGGAGGCAUAGCAGAACCAAAGAACAUGUUCUUGCUAUAGCAAAGUCAGAUGAAUUUGUUGCAUUUGAGCACAAGAAAAAGUUUACAUACUGCAAUCAGCAUGCUCUGAAACAAAUAGUUAAAAUUACCAUCUUUUAUGGAAGGCAGAACCUUUUAAUGAGGGGACAGGUACUAAACACUAAGAUUGUACAUGCGCUUUCAUGUAAUAUCACAGGACUGGACCCUAAUUUGAAAGAGCAGCUUAGGGUAUGUCUACACUACGAAAUUAGGUCGAAUUUAUAGAAGCCGGUUUUAUAGAAAUCGGUUUUAUACAGUCAAUUGUGUGUGUCCCCACACAAAAUGCUCUAAGUGC